ACCCGCUGAAUUUAAGCAUAUAAGUAAGUGGUGGAAAUUAAACCAACUGGGAUCUCUUCAGUAAUUGCGCAUGAACCAGGAUAUGCUUAGCUUGACAAAUGGAGCUGCUGGCUCUGAAUUGUAUUGUGGGAAUGUAUUACCAACAGAGGUGCAGGUCACACUCCUUGGCAUUGGAAUGCAAAGUGGGUGGUAAGUUUCAUGCAAAGGUAAAUAUGCAAUUGAGACUGAUAGCGCACAAGUACCAUGAGGGACAUAUGAAAAGGACUUUGAAAAGAGAAUUAAAUGAGUUUGUAUUUGCUAAACACAAAGUAAACAGACUUGAUUUCCUCAGUGAGAUUGUAGUGCUUGCUUAACAAUGGGUUUUGGCUGCAAGUGCAAUAAUUCUUGCUUUGUGUGCCCGUUUUUAUGUGGACAUUUGAUUACCUUUGCACAUGAAUGGUAAUUUUCCUGCGGGGUGUGGAUUGCAUAUGCAUGUAAUGAUUUGCAUGGUUGUUAAAUGUGUCUGGUGUAUUUGUUUGUGUCCUUGUCCUUGAGGUUGCUUUCUCCCUUGGGCUUACAUGCCCUGGCACACACAUUCUGGCAAAAUGCUUCUGCUUGACCCGUCUUGAAACACGGUCCAAGG
This 622-nucleotide ribosomal RNA is filed under the name Alexandrium catenella. RNAcentral's name for it is "LSU rRNA". It matches the Rfam family "Eukaryotic large subunit ribosomal RNA", at positions 23 to 671 of the family's 3401-position model. Lineage: Eukaryota; Dinophyceae; Gonyaulacales; Pyrocystaceae. The record is from RNAcentral.